UGACUNGAGUGCAGAAGGGGAGAGUGGAAUUCCAUGUGUAGCGGUGAAAUGCGUAGAUAUAUGGAGGAACACCAGUGGCGAAAGCGGCUCUCUGGUCUGUCACUGACGCUGAGGCUNGAAAGCGUGGGUAGCGAACAGGAUUAGAUACCCUGGUAGUNCACGCCGUAAACGAUGAGUGCUAGGUGUUAGGCCCUUUCCGGGGCUUAGUGCCGGAGCUAACGCAAUAAGCACUCCGCCUGGGGAGUACGACCGCAAGGUUGAAACUCAAAGGAAUUGACGGGGGCCCGCACAAGCGGUGGAGCAUGUGGUUUAAUUCGAAGCAACGCGAAGAACCUUACCAGGUCUUGACAUCCCGAUGCUAUUCUUAGAGAUAGGAAGUUACUUCGGUACAUCGGAGACAGGUGGUGCAUGGUUGUCGUCAGCUCGUGUCGUGAGAUGUUGGGUUAAGUCCCGCAACGAGCGCAACCCUUAUUGUUAGUUGCCAUCAUUAAGUUGGGCACUCUAGCGAGACUGCCGGUAAUAAACCGGAGGAAGGUGGGGAUGACGUCAAAUCAUCAUGCCCCUUAUGACCUGGGCUACACACGUGCUACAAUGGUCGGUACAACGAGUUGCGAGCCGGUGACGGCAAGCUAAUCUCUGAAAGCCGAUCUCAGUUCGGAUUGGAGGCUGCAACUCGCCUCCAUGAAGUCGGAAUCGCUAGUAAUCGCGGAUCAGCACGCCGCGGUGAAUACGUUCCCGGGCCUUGUACACACCGCCCGUCACACCACGAGAGUUUGUAACACCCGAAGUCGGUGAGGUAACCUUUUAGGGGCCAGCCGCCUAAGGUGGGA
Molecule: ribosomal RNA, 830 nt
Filed under: uncultured bacterium
Lineage: Bacteria
Description: bacterial SSU rRNA
Rfam family: Bacterial small subunit ribosomal RNA
Source: RNAcentral